CUGGCAGUGAAACAUUGCUCGGGGCUGCCACUCCAGCAAGGGAUGUGAGAUGAAGGGGAUGGAGACUCUUCCAGGAACGUGCUCUCGGAGGAAGAAAUGACUAGUAACGUUGUGACAUCCCUUGUACUUGCCAAGCCUGCAACUCCACUCUGCCGGGCACGGUGCGUGCUUUGAACCCUGCGUCCUGCCCCGGGUUUCGAAUGCUGUAUCAACACAGUGCACUGCAGGGUGUUUUCACCACCCCAAGUUACUGAAAACCUGUGUGAACCUGAACUGAGUUCGAGAAAAGGAUUGAUGUUUCAGCUCAGUCCGAGCUGUUAUCAGCAUGUUCAUAUUUGCAGGCUCAACAAGCAGCAGUAAAACAAACAGUUCAAGUGACUUGAGCAAGAUCACCUUGUAGGUAAGGGACAGAGACUGAAAUAGAUCCUGUGUCUCCUGUCCCGUGUCUCCACCUGACCAUUUUUGACUCUAAUUAAGCAAUUACAAAGGCUGUUUCCCUGGCAAGGUGAUAAUCAGCUUCACUGCUGAUUGCAGUGAGUUUUCAUCACCUGAUAGGACCAAGGCUUGCAGAACAGAGACACUUUCAGCUGCUGUAAAUCAGCACAGCUUUGCUUUCCCUUCCAGCGAGCCGCGCUGAUUUACACUACUGAUUUAUGUUGGCCUCCCUGAGGUCCCUGACAGAUGUGCAGUGGUGGAUUAAAAUCAGACAAAUGAAGGGCUAUGAGGUGCCACUGGCCUGCCACCCCAUCCUGCAAACAGGCAUUGCCACCCAGAGGCAGGGGCAUCUCCUCUA
Molecule: non-coding RNA, 793 nt
Organism: Struthio camelus australis
Lineage: Eukaryota; Metazoa; Chordata; Aves; Struthioniformes; Struthionidae
Source: RefSeq, a predicted model, not a curated record